RNAcentral lists this ribosomal RNA (253 nucleotides) under uncultured bacterium. RNAcentral describes it as "partial 16S ribosomal RNA". It matches the Rfam family "Bacterial small subunit ribosomal RNA", at positions 524 to 776 of the family's 1533-position model. The record is from RNAcentral.
UACGAAGGGGGCGAGCGUUGUCCGAAGUUACUGGGCGUAAAGCGCGCGUAGGCGGGUUGGUAAGUCCGCUGUGAAAGCCCGGAGCUUAACUCCGGAGGGUCGGUGGAUACUGCCAGUCUUGAAGGUGCUAGGGGGAGAUGGAAUUACCGGUGUAGCGGUGAAAUGCGUAGAUAUCGGUAGGAACACCAGUGGCGAAGGCGGUCUCCUGGGGCAUUCUUGACGCUGAGGCGCGAAAGCUGGGGGAGCAAACGGG